This 290-nucleotide unclassified non-coding RNA is filed under the name uncultured Coprinopsis. RNAcentral's name for it is "sequence contains ITS2". The stretch from base 1 to 52 matches the Rfam family "5.8S ribosomal RNA", at positions 103 to 154 of the family's 154-position model. The record is from RNAcentral. Lineage: Eukaryota; Fungi; Basidiomycota; Agaricomycetes; Agaricales; Psathyrellaceae.
AACGCACCUUGCGCUCCUUGGUAUUCCGAGGAGCAUGCCUGUUUGAGUGUCAUUAAAUUCUCAACCUCACCAACUUUGUUGUGUGAAGGCUUGGAUGUGGGGGUUGCAGGUCCGCACUCGUGUGGUCUGCUCCUCUAAAACGUAUUAGUGGGUUAGUCCCCUAAUCUAUUGGUGUGAUAAUUAUCUACGCCGUGGAUUUGGAAGGCUAUCAUAGACCUGCUUCUAACCGUCCUCUGGACAACCUUGACAAUUUUGACGUCAAAUCAGGUAAGACUACCCGCUGAACUUAA